UCGAGAAUCUUCGGCAAUGGGCGCAAGCCUGACCGAGCGAUGCCGCGUGCGGGAUGAAGGCCUUCGGGUUGUAAACCGCUGUCAGAGGGGAUGAAAUACGUCGGGGGUUCUCCCCCGGGUUUGACAUAUCCUCAGAGGAAGGACGGGCUAAGUUCGUGCCAGCAGCCGCGGUAAGACGAACCGUCCAAACGUUAUUCGGAAUUACUGGGCUUAAAGGGUGCGUAGGCGGCCUGACAAGUUGGGUGUGAAAUACCUCGGCUCAACCGAGGAACAGCGCUCAAAACUGUUAGGCUUGAGGGAGAUAGAGGUGAGCGGAACUUAAGGUGGAGCGGUGAAAUGCGUUGAUAUCUUAAGGAACACCCGUGGCGAAAGCGGCUCACUGGAUCUCUUCUGACGCUCAUGCACGAAAGCUAGGGGAGCAAACGG
Molecule: ribosomal RNA, 426 nt
Filed under: uncultured bacterium
Lineage: Bacteria
Description: bacterial SSU rRNA
Rfam family: Bacterial small subunit ribosomal RNA
Source: RNAcentral